UAGUGAAAUUACCCUAAGUGCCCUUUGUUGACUUAAAUGGAUCAAUAUUCUGCCCUGUAGCGAGAGUCAUGUUCGAAAUAGCGUGAGGCUGGGUGGGCCGAGUCAUGUUUGAAGUGGCGUGAGGCUGGUUGGAUCGAGUCACAAUCGAGAUUCGUUGACACUAUAUCUAUACGCUUUAAGUAAAUUGUUUGCGUAUUUCUAACAGCUCGAGCUUUUGGGAUUAAUGAUUAGCGCUAGCUAACGAUCCGACAUCCUUGUCUUAACAGUAAAAUAAUAUUUUGCUGUGUUCUAGAUAGCUAACGCAUAUAUAUAAAGAUAAUUUGAAAUAUUUGCCAUAGAAGAAAUUUCUACGUACUGAAUUAUACAAAAGAUAAGGCAAUUUAGGAAGCAAAUUAUGGAUCUGAUU
This 406-nucleotide long non-coding RNA is filed under the name Ananas comosus (pineapple). RNAcentral's name for it is "long non-coding RNA (ACOM_LNC015713)". Lineage: Eukaryota; Viridiplantae; Streptophyta; Magnoliopsida; Poales; Bromeliaceae. The record is from RNAcentral.